This 497-nucleotide ribosomal RNA is filed under the name uncultured bacterium. Its description in RNAcentral is "partial 16S ribosomal RNA". It matches the Rfam family "Bacterial small subunit ribosomal RNA", at positions 28 to 507 of the family's 1533-position model. The record is from RNAcentral.
GAUGAACGCUGGCGGCGUGCCUAAUACAUGCAAGUCGAGCGAACAGACGAGGAGCUUGCUCCUCUGACGUUAGCGGCGGACGGGUGAGUAACACGUGGAUAACCUACCUAUAAGACUGGGAUAACUUCGGGAAACCGGAGCUAAUACCGGAUAAUAUAUUGAACCGCAUGGUUCAAUAGUGAAAGACGGUUUUGCGGUCACUUAUAGAUGGAUCCGCGCCGCAUUAGCUAGUUGGUAAGGUAACGGCUUACCAAGGCAACGAUGCGUAGCCGACCUGAGAGGGUGAUCGGCCACACUGGAACUGAGACACGGUACAGACUCCUACGGGAGGCAGCAGUAGGGAAUCUUCCGCAAAGGGCGAAAGCCUGACGGAGCAACGCCGCGUGAGUGAUGAAGGUCUUCGGAUCGUAAAACUCUGUUAUUAGGGAAGAACAAAUGUGUAAGUAACUAUGCACGUCUUGACGGUACCUAAUCAGAAAGCCACGGCUAACUACGUG